CCUACGGGAGGCAGCAGUGAGGAAUAUUGGUCAAUGGCCGGAAGCCUGAACCAGCCAUGCCGCGUGAAGGUCAGUGCCCUAUGGGCGUUAAACUUCUUUUGUGCGGGAGCAAUAAUGGUCACGUGUGGCCAGACGAGAGUACCGUACGAAUAAGCAUCGGCUAACUCCGUGCCAGCAGCCGCGGUAAUACGGGGGAUGCAAGCGUUAUCCGGAUUUAUUGGGUUUAAAGGGGGUGUAGGCUGUGAGGUAAGUCAGCGGUGAAAUGCCUCCGCUCAACGGGGUGGAGUGCCAUUGAUACUGGCUAGCUAGAAUGCGGAUGCCGUGGGUGGAAUGUGUGGUGUAGCGGUGAAAUGCAUAGAUAUCACACAGAACACCGAUUGCGAAGGCAUCUCACGAAUCCGCGAUUGACGCUGAUGCACGAAAGCGUGGGUAUCAAACAGGAUUAGAUACCCCUGUAGUC
This 460-nucleotide ribosomal RNA is filed under the name uncultured bacterium. RNAcentral's name for it is "partial 16S ribosomal RNA". It matches the Rfam family "Bacterial small subunit ribosomal RNA", at positions 338 to 795 of the family's 1533-position model. The record is from RNAcentral.